GGAAACCUGCUGCCAGUUCAGCUCCAUGUGACUGACUGUGUGUUUGCAUAUGUGUCCUGCCUCUCUGCUCCAGCUGUUAAGAGGUCAGAGUUGAUCAGUGGCUGUCCAGGCCUUUCAGAGCCACUGACACACCAGCAGCACAAUGAUGAUGUCACUGACUCUACUGCUGACCAUCCUGGGGCUCCUGGUUCAGGGUUCAUCAGGAGACAUAAUUAUGACUCAGACUCCGGGAUCUCUGUCUGUUGAUCCAGGACAGAGAGUCUCCAUUGAAUGUAAAGCCAGUGAACAUAUCAGCAAUGAGGUAGACUGGUACCUCCAGAAACCUGGAGAAGCUCCCAAACUCCUGAUUUAUUGGAGAUCAAAUCGUCAGCCUGGAGUUCCUGAUCGUUUCAGUGGGAGUCAGUCUGGAACUGAUUUCACUCUGACCAUCAGCAGAGUUCAGGCUGAAGAUGCAGGAGUUUAUUACUGUCAGCAGGAUUACAGCUUACCGUUCACACAGAGAUACAACGUCGUACAAAAACCUCCCUCAGCUGCAGAGGAACUGAUCCGCAGUUGGACUGAAGCAGAAGAUGAUCACAGAAUCAUGUUCAAAAUGGCUCAUUUAAACAUCACAUUUUUAUUUAAAUAG
This is a non-coding RNA of Xiphophorus couchianus (Monterrey platyfish), 628 nucleotides long. The record is from the annotation of a RefSeq genome assembly. Lineage: Eukaryota; Metazoa; Chordata; Actinopteri; Cyprinodontiformes; Poeciliidae.